Molecule: long non-coding RNA, 360 nt
Filed under: Elaeis guineensis (African oil palm)
Lineage: Eukaryota; Viridiplantae; Streptophyta; Magnoliopsida; Arecales; Arecaceae
Description: long non-coding RNA (EGUI_LNC004368)
Source: RNAcentral
GCACUAGUGCAGGAGAUCCAGCUCCAGUUUCUUGGUAGCCUCCUAUCCAAAAAAAAAAAAAGCUAUUCCUUGGUAGUGUUGGGAUUCUCUAGUGUCCCCAUAGCCUUGGAGGUGACCAUAGAAGGAGCUGGAUCGAUAGACUUCGGGUUCAUUAGGACAGGAGUGGUCCUAGGGUGGAGAUGGUAUAUAGUUUCUACAAACUUAAAGUUCUAACAACGAGGAUUUUGAGAGAUUUGGUUGGAGCUCCAGAGAUAUGGAACAUGAGGUGGAGCAAGAAACCAAAGAAGGGAUGAAGACUGCGGAGGAGCAGCUUCAGCAGAGGAGUCAACUCGGUUCUGAGAUGAGUCGACUCGAUUCCAA